Molecule: long non-coding RNA, 351 nt
Organism: Salarias fasciatus (jewelled blenny)
Lineage: Eukaryota; Metazoa; Chordata; Actinopteri; Blenniiformes; Blenniidae
Exons: 3
Source: RefSeq, a predicted model, not a curated record
GAGCUGUGUGAGCCGUGCGAGCUGUGUUUGCCUGCUGGGCUGCGUCUGGGAUCAUUUCCCCCUGAAUCUGGGUGUCAACUUGCUGCUAGAGGAGUGGCUGUUGUGAAGCCACAGACUCCCCACCUCUCCUACUGGGUGAUCAGUUUGGAUGCUUUUGGCCAGGAGCGGCCAGUUAAGCUGCAGUGGAACCUACCAGCUGUUUUGUCCUGCCGGGUUGCUGCCACGACCAGCGUUGGCACACGUAAUCACGCCUGGUCUGCCUCUGCUCCGUGGAGUCGGCCGCCUGCACUCCAAUCUACUGGCUGACCUCCUGAACAGAGCUUGAACGCUCGUGGAACGCCAGGCGGAAGA